This 880-nucleotide ribosomal RNA is filed under the name uncultured bacterium. Its description in RNAcentral is "bacterial SSU rRNA". It matches the Rfam family "Bacterial small subunit ribosomal RNA", at positions 606 to 1500 of the family's 1533-position model. The record is from RNAcentral.
GGCUCAACCGUAAAAUUGCCAUUGAAACUGGCGAACUUGAGUACAGUAGAGGUAGGCGGAAUUCGUGGUGUAGCGGUGAAAUGCUUAGAUAUCACGAAGAACUCCGAUUGCGAAGGCAGCUUGCUGGACUGUAACUGACGCUGAGGCACGAAAGCGUGGGGAUCAAACAGGAUUAGAUACCCUGGUAGUCCACGCCGUAAACGAUGAAUGCUAGCUGUUAGCGAUAUACUGUUAGCGGCACAGAGAAAUCGUUAAGCAUUCCACCUGGGGAGUACGCCGGCAACGGUGAAACUCAAAGGAAUUGACGGGGGCCCGCACAAGCGGAGGAACAUGUGGUUUAAUUCGAUGAUACGCGAGGAACCUUACCUGGGCUUAAAUUGCAGUGGAAUAACGUGGAAACAUGUUAGCCUUCGGGCCGCUGUGAAGGUGCUGCAUGGUUGUCGUCAGCUCGUGCCGUGAGGUGUCGGCUUAAGUGCCAUAACGAGCGCAACCCUCAUCGAUAGUUACUAACAGGUUAAGCUGAGGACUCUAUCGAGACUGCCGACGUAAGUCGUGAGGAAGGUGGGGAUGACGUCAAAUCAGCACGGCCCUUACGUCCAGGGCUACACACGUGUUACAAUGGGGGGUACAAAGGGCAGCUACCUGGCGACAGGAUGCUAAUCUCAAAAACCUCUCUCAGUUCGGAUUGGAGUCUGCAACCCGACUCCAUGAAGCUGGAUUCGCUAGUAAUCGCGCAUCAGCCACGGCGCGGUGAAUACGUUCCCGGGCCUUGUACACACCGCCCGUCAAGCCAUGGGAGCCGGGGGGACCUGAAGUAUGCAACCGUAAGGAGCGUCCUAGGGUAAAACCGGUAACUGGGGCUAAGUCGUAACAAGGUACC